CAUUUUGGUUUUUUUGAGAGAAACCGAGGGAUAGGGAGGGGAUGAACCCCUCCAUUGUGCUAGCUCUAAGGGGGCGAACAAAACGAAUUCUAGGGUCUUACCAAAAAAAACGAAUUCUAGGGUUUCAUGUCUUUGAAGGGGGAGUUUAAUGUCUGAAAUUCAGAAAUGGCGAUCAUAAACCCUUCGUUUUCACGUCAAUUUCAUUUUUCCAAGUAACGUUUUCUUUCACGACUUGUUUGGAUUUUGUUUGGAUUUUUUUUGCUUUUAACAAGAGGAAGAAGAGAUGAUGCCAGUGAGAAGGGGGAAGAGUAUAAAGGGUAUUUGUGUAGGCUUUCGAUGAGAGGAGCUGCUAAUGAUGAUACUCUACCGUAAGGACUUCACAUCGGAACAGGACGGCAUGAUGCCACUUGCCAGUAAAUGGAUGAAAGGCAUACUAUGCUGCUAUAUUGGAGCAAUAAUGAAAUCAAUGCUGAAUCCUUCACCAUCAUAAGAGAUAGAUCGGUUCCAGGGAUGGGUGGUCUUUGGCUCAAUGCAGAUUAUGUAAAGCGUAUUCAUAUGUCAGGAGAAGUUUUCUCAGAGGACAUCUUAGAUCACCUUGGUCCUUGAGGAUAAGAAAACAACCCCUUCUGCCUCAACAGUGGAAAAUCUAUUUGGCCCAGAUGGAAAACUCUGUGAUGGUGGAGUCAAGUCUUUGAAAAAAAUUAGCAGGUGGUUUGAGUUUUUUCAGUUCAUCCAUACAGUACAGUUACCGAUAUUCUUAAGUUUACAUUACAUGAAGCUUCCUUGAUGGAGGCCUAUCUGCUUCCGAUACUUGUUGCUCCUAGCUCUCGCUUCUCCUUGCAGAAAGCAGUUUGAGAAGUUGAGGAAACAGUUGAAACAUGCAUCUUUUGAAGCGCAUUGUUGAUGAGCGUGUUAAACAGAAUGGAGUUGCUGGAGUUGCGGUAGCCGACAAGGCGACAACGAUGGGGACAUUGAGAGUGUUGUCGAAGAUUCAGCUGCUCAAAUGGAUGUGAUUGCCCAAGAGUCUUCCUCGACUGUUACGAGAGAGCCCAGAAUGUGACGACUCAAAUGAUGAACAGGUUCCUGAUUGAUUUCCUGUAAAACCACCUGGAACCCUGUAGAGUCUUUACUACAUGCAGGACGCAUAGUUGUGAUGCAGUAAUGGUGAUGAGAUGUUGGAUAUUGUCCGGCAAUGAGUGACUUUUUGAUCACCUGUGGUUGUGAUGGUGGUUAUUAGGUUGUUUUUUUGUUUGUUUGUGGUUUUGUGGGAUUCGUGAAGAACAACUUCAGGCUGGACGGAGUGGGAUUCAGAAGGCGGUUAAACACUGUUGGCAAGAUUACCAAGUUCAAAGAAUGCUGAAGGCAUCUGGAGAAGAAGAUGCAGAGGCUGGUGUUGGUUCCUUUAUAGACAAGAGGUUAGAUUUGAGCAAGCAAUAUGUGUAUUUGGGGUGUGAUGCGGUCAGUAGACCAGGCAGCUACCAGGGCUAGGAUCGAGAGUAAGUCGCUCAGUGCGGCAUGUGUGCUGCAGCAUAUAGGAUGAAAUGAGAAAAUGCUAGUCUUCCCCCACCCCCUUCCCCCACCCCUUUCCCCCAUUACGUGUCAAGCAGAUAGUGGUGUGAUGCCACACAAAAGGGCCCCCUGUUAACUCCAAUCCAAGGGAUCAGGGUUAAGAUCGCUGCCACCUAAUGGGGGAAAGGGAAUGGGGGAAGUGUAGCAUCUUUGGAUGAAAUGUAAUAAUAAAAAGAGAAUGGAAACAUAAAUCCAUAUCUGGUUUACAUACACAGAGCUUGUAUGACUUUUGUAAAAGGGUGCUGCCUGCCAGUGAGCUGUGAAGCACGUGAAUAUUGUACAAAUAAUUCUUAUUGUUACUAAACUGAGGUUGGGUGUUGCUGCCUCUUAUUGU
Long non-coding RNA from Papaver somniferum (opium poppy), 1903 nucleotides. RefSeq lists it as uncharacterized. Lineage: Eukaryota; Viridiplantae; Streptophyta; Magnoliopsida; Ranunculales; Papaveraceae. The transcript has 3 exons. The record is from RefSeq and is a predicted model, not a curated record.